UACGAACCGUCCAAACGUUAUUCGGAAUUACUGGGCUUAAAGGGUGCGUAGGCGGCCCGGGAAGUUGGGUGUGAAAGCCCUCGGCUCAACCGAGGAACUGCGCCCAAAACUGCCGGGCUCGAGGGAGAUAGAGGUGAGCGGAACUUAGGGUGGAGCGGUGAAAUGCGUUGAUAUCCUAAGGAACACCGGUGGCGAAAGCGGCUCACUGGGUCUCUUCUGACGCUGAGGCACGAAAGCUAGGGUAGCGAACGGG
RNAcentral lists this ribosomal RNA (253 nucleotides) under uncultured prokaryote. Its description in RNAcentral is "partial 16S ribosomal RNA". It matches the Rfam family "Bacterial small subunit ribosomal RNA", at positions 524 to 776 of the family's 1533-position model. The record is from RNAcentral. RNAcentral also lists the same sequence under 1 other name.